Cyprinus carpio (common carp) is the source of this 1174-nucleotide long non-coding RNA. RefSeq lists it as uncharacterized. NCBI's taxonomy places the organism in Eukaryota, Metazoa, Chordata, Actinopteri, Cypriniformes, Cyprinidae. The transcript is spliced from 3 exons. The record is from RefSeq and is a predicted model, not a curated record.
ACUCCAGAGAACGAAUUGUGAAAGUCAUUCUUCCAAUAAAACAUACAGUUGUUGGCAGGUGUGAUCAACAAAUCAAGCCAGAGCAAUGAAAUGCAUCGGUUUGUCCUGAUUGACUACAAAAUGAUAUCAGAUCGAGGUUGUGGUUGCAUCAUCAGAUACAAAGGUCACCCCUGUGAGGAACAUAUGACGCAAAACAUGAAAGUUCAAGAUCCAUUUUGUAUCUUUGGACCUACUACCCAUAAACACUCAGCUCCAUCGAGGCAUGAGAAAGAAGCUGUUUAACUAGAGCUUUGAAAGAAGUCACUCCAAGUCACUCCUCAGUCUUCUCACAUGUCCAAAGUUUCUGAGUUUAAAGCUACGCCUCUCUCCUCCUCUUCCUCCUCUGCAUCAUCACUGUUGCCAAGGGUUCAAGCACGGUGAAACUCUAUUGUAAUAGAAUGGCCAAGGAUCAGCAAUCUCCACCUAAAACUGAUCGGGCAGUUGUGGAGACUUGAAACUUGGAGGGAUGGUAGUAGUCCAUGUACAUCAGGGGUCACCAAACUCGGUCCUGCAGAACCGGUGUCCUGCAGAGUUUUGCUCCAACCCUGAUCAACAACUCUUGAACCAGCUAAUCAAGGUCUUACUUGGUAUAUUUGAAACUUCCAGGCAGGUGUGUUGAGGAAAGUUGUAGCUAAACUCUGCAGGACUUGCCUCUAUUGGACCAUAAGGAGAUUGGACCAUUUUUAGCAUAGCUUUAAGUAUUACAUAGCUUGAAGUAUUCUAUAGUCUUUGGCCAGUGCAGGACCACUCUGUUUGCUUUAAAUUUUGUAAUUGUACAAUCUAAUAAAAAAUAUCAUGCUCUUGAUACAUGUAUGUAACAUCUUUGUUUGGACUGUGAAUAAAAUACAGUAAUAGAGCAGAUAAACAGCUUGUUCAUAUACUUUAUCAUUCUUUCUUGUCUCUUGCUUAUAGAAAAAAAAUUCAGCAACCAGUAUCAGAAUCAGCAAAUUUACUGACAAUUAUAAUCGUCCAUGAAAACUCAAGAUCAGGCAUCUCUAGUUUUUGUAGAUAGCCUACUGGUUAGUUUCCUCAAACUGUCAUAAAUUUGACUGACUAUUAAAGGGAUACUCCACCCCAAAAUGAAAAGUUUGUCAUUAAUCACUUACCCCCAUGUCGUUCCAAACCCGUAAAAGCU